UGGAGGGAGCCGCCGAAGGAGUGAAUGGUGACUGGGGUGAAGUCGUAACAAGGUAGCCGUAGGGGAACCUGCGGCUGGAUCACCUCCUUUUACGGAG
This is a ribosomal RNA of 97 nucleotides. It matches the Rfam family "Bacterial small subunit ribosomal RNA", at positions 1444 to 1533 of the family's 1533-position model.